Molecule: ribosomal RNA, 660 nt
Filed under: Roseovarius sp.
Lineage: Bacteria; Pseudomonadati; Pseudomonadota; Alphaproteobacteria; Rhodobacterales; Roseobacteraceae
Description: bacterial SSU rRNA
Rfam family: Bacterial small subunit ribosomal RNA
Source: RNAcentral
GAAAGGGGGCAGCUACACAUGCAGUCGAGCGAACCUUCGGGUUAGCGGCGGACGGGUGAGUAACGCGUGGGAACGUACCCUCUUCUGCGGGAUAGCCACUGGAAACGGUGAGUAAUACCGCAUACGCCCUUCGGGGGAAAGAUUUAUCGGAGGAGGAUCGGCCCGCGUUGGAUUAGGUAGUUGGUGGGGUAAUGGCCUACCAAGCCUACGAUCCAUAGCUGGUUUUAGAGGAUGAUCAGCCACACUGGGACUGAGACACGGCCCAGACUCCUACGGGAGGCAGCAGUGGGGAAUCUUAGACAAUGGGCGCAAGCCUGAUCUAGCCAUGCCGCGUGAGUGACGAAGGCCUUAGGGUCGUAAAGCUCUUUCGCCAGAGAUGAUAAUGACAGUAUCUGGUAAAGAAACCCCGGCUAACUCCGUGCCAGCAGCCGCGGUAAUACGGAGGGGGUUAGCGUUGUUCGGAAUUACUGGGCGUAAAGCGCACGUAGGCGGAUUGGAAAGUUGGGGGUGAAAUCCCAGGGCUCAACCCUGGAACUGCCUCCAAAACUCCCAGUCUGGAGUUCGAGAGAGGUGAGUGGAAUUCCGAGUGUAGAGGUGAAAUUCGUAGAUAUUCGGAGGAACACCAGUGGCGAAGGCGGCUCACUGGCUCGAUACUGACGC